GACGAACGCUGGCGGCGUGCUUAACACAUGCAAGUCGAACGGUAAGGCCCUUCGGGGUACACGAGUGGCGAACGGGGGAGUAACACGUGGGUGAUCUGCCCUGCACUUCGGGAUAAGCCUGGGAAACUGGGUCUAAUACCGGAUAGGACCACUGCCUGCAUGGGUGGUGGUGGAAAGCUUUUGCGGUGUGGGAUGGGCCCGCGGCCUAUCAGCUUGUUGGUGGGGUGAUGGCCUACCAAGGCGACGACGGGUAGCCGGCCUGAGAGGGUGAACGGCGACACUGGGACUGAGAUACGGCCCAGACGCCUACGGGAGGCAGCAGUGGGGAAUAUUGCACAAUGGGCGCAAGCCUGAUGCAGCGGCGCCGCGUUAGGGAUGCCGGCCUUCGGGUUGUAAACCUCUUUCAGCACCGACGAAGCGCAAGUGACGGUAGGUGCAGAAGAAGGACCGGCCAACUACGUGCCAGCCGCCGCAGUAA
This 478-nucleotide ribosomal RNA is filed under the name uncultured bacterium. RNAcentral describes it as "partial 16S ribosomal RNA". It matches the Rfam family "Bacterial small subunit ribosomal RNA", at positions 28 to 523 of the family's 1533-position model. The record is from RNAcentral.